AUGAUUGGGAGGAGCUUCAACAAAGCGUUGUAAGUACGAUUAGAUUGACGUUAGCCUCGGAUGUGAAGUAUAAUGUCUUAAAGGAGACUUCGCCAGUUGUUCUGUGGAAAAAAUUAGAGAGUUUGCACAUAUCAAAGUCACUCACAAUUCGUUUGUACUUGAAUGAGUUGUACUAACUCAAAAUAAAUGAAAGUACUGAUGUGAGAGAUCACCUUAAUGUAUUUAAUAAAUUAAUUACCCAAUUGACUAGUGUUGGUGUGAAGGUUGAUUAAGAAGAUAAAGCUCUCUUGCUUUUUAACCUCUCUCCCACACUAUUAUAAAAGCUUGGUGACAGCUCUAACAGUUGGGAAGAAGAAUUUGAAGGUGGAGGAGGUUACCGC
This 380-nucleotide unclassified non-coding RNA is filed under the name Hevea brasiliensis (rubber tree). The record is from RNAcentral. Lineage: Eukaryota; Viridiplantae; Streptophyta; Magnoliopsida; Malpighiales; Euphorbiaceae.